RNAcentral lists this ribosomal RNA (254 nucleotides) under uncultured bacterium. RNAcentral's name for it is "partial 16S ribosomal RNA". It matches the Rfam family "Bacterial small subunit ribosomal RNA", at positions 524 to 776 of the family's 1533-position model. The record is from RNAcentral.
UACGUAGGGUCCGAGCGUUGUCCGGAUUUAUUGGGCGUAAAGAGCUCGUAGGCGGUUUCGUAAGUCGGAUGUGAAAACUCAGGGCUCAACCCGGAGACGCCAUCCGAUACUGCGAUGACUGGAGUCUGGUAGGGGAUCACGGAAUACCUGGUGUAGCGGUGAAAUGCGCAGAUAUCAGGUGGAACACCGAUGGCGAAGGCAGUGAUCUGGGCCAGUACUGACGCUGAGGAGCGAAAGCGUGGGGAGCAAAUAGG